RNAcentral lists this small RNA (2693 nucleotides) under Pongo abelii (Sumatran orangutan). Its description in RNAcentral is "retained intron". Lineage: Eukaryota; Metazoa; Chordata; Mammalia; Primates; Hominidae. The record is from RNAcentral.
UGGGAUUAGAAGCACAGCCUGGCCAGGCACAGUGGCUCACACCUGUAGUCCCAACACUCUGGGAGGCCGAGGCAGGAGUCGCUUCAGCCCAGGAGUUCAAGACCAGCCUGGACGAUAUGGAGAGACCCUGUCUCUGCAAAAAAGUACAAAAAUUAGCCGGGCGUGGUGGCAUGCAUCUAUAGUCCCAGCUACUCAGGAGGCUGAGUUGGGAGGAUGGCUUGAGCCCAGGGAGGUUGAGGCUGCAGUGAGCUGUGAUCACAUCAGUGCACUCCAGCCUGGGCAGCAGAGCAAGAUCCUGUCUCAAAAAAAAAAAAGCGGGAGCAGCACCUUAGUGCCAAAGAAAAGUCUACCUUUCCUCCCAAAGCCUCCUGGGCCAGGCUGAGUGGCUUGGGGAAUACCACGUGACUGGCUUCCCUCCCCAGGGCAGACAACUGCUGGCAUCCCAUCCGCUCCCCUCCCCUUUGCUGCCACUGACCUCUAUCCACACGGUUUCCUUAACCAGAGCCUCUCUCCUCCUCUCCUCUGCUAGUGAAGCACUGCUUACCCUCCUAGCCUGCAGCAAGCCCUGCCCUGCCCCAUCUUUCUACCCAAUUUCGUGCUCUUCUGUUUCACACUCAUUUCUUUUUACUUGGGACUAAUUGUGGCUGUUGGGACUUUGGCUUGAUUGCUAAAAUACUUUACUUGUACUUCCUGAUGAUACAAACAAUCCUGCCCACUUCCUCUGCCAGAUAUUGCACCCACUCGUCAGGAUUUGUGCGUCCUUGACUCUGCCCCACCCAGUGCUCCCAGCAGGGGCAGGUGCAGGAAGCUCGCUAGGUGGAGAUGUUGGAAUUGGUUUUUCUUGCAGACAAAGACCUGCGGACCAAGGGCUUCAGCCUAGAGUCGUGCCGCAGCAUGGUGAACCUCAUGGAUGUAUCCUUCCAUUUGUUUUUUUCUCCUGAGUGGGAUUUUGGGUGGAGGUAUCGGUGCUGGGAGAACUGUGCCAGGACAGCGCAGAGAAUGGGACAGAGCCAUGUGGAGUGUGGACACACAGUGCCCCAUGCUCAGAUGUCUCCCUGGACAUCUUCCUGUUGGUUGGGAGGGAGAAACUGAGGCACAGACCUGUGUCAGGUGAAAGGCGGAGCAAGACCUGGGUCCCCAUUGACCCUGAGGCUGGUGCUGUUUCGGACCCCUCCCCAGCCCACUCCACUGCAGCCCAGCUCAGAGAACGAGGCGAGCCCGGCUGUGGGCUGACUGCACAUGGCUUUUGCUGCUUCUCCUCACCCAACCCCAAGUCGGCUUGCUGGCUCGGCUGUCUCCCCUUCUGCACAGUUGCCCACUCUCCCAUGCCUGGUCUAAGUGAUGGAAUUUCCUUCUUAACGGCCACCCAGCGUGAUGGCAAUGGGAAGCUGGGCCUGGUGGAGUUCAACAUCCUGUGGAACCGCAUCCGGAAUUACCUGUCCAUCUUCCGGAAGUUUGACCUGGACAAGUCGGGCAGCAUGAGUGCCUACGAGAUGCGGAUGGCCAUCGAGUCGGCAGGCUUCAAGCUCAACAAGAAGCUUUACGAGCUCAUCAUCACCCGCUACUCGGAGCCCGACCUGGCGGUCGACUUUGACAAUUUCGUGUGCUGCCUGGUGCGGCUAGAGACCAUGUUCCGAUUUUUCAAAACUCUGGACACAGAUCUGGAUGGAGUCGUGACCUUUGACUUGUUUAAGGUGGGAACCUCCCUGGGCCCAUGGUGGGGGAAGAGUUCCAGGCGGGAGGGGAGGCCCAGGCCCUUGGAGGCCCCUAUGGGAGCAACACUCCUGUUUCCCAGGGGUGGAGGAGGUAAGAAAGUAACCCCUCCAUGAGGUCCCCGAGGUGGCUCCUGAGCUGUGGAGUUGGGGGCUGGACCUGGGGUUUGGGUGGGGAAGAAGCCAGGGAGCCAUUUCUGGGGCCCUGGCCAACCUGCCUGCUCUCCCGCAGUGGUUGCAGCUGACCAUGUUUGCAUGAGGCAGGGACUCGGUCCCCCUUGCCGUGCUCCCCUCCCUCCUCGUCUGCCAAGCCACGCCUCCUACCACACCACACCAGGCCACCCCAGCUGCAAGUGCCUUCCUUGGAGCAGAGUCAGCCUCGUCCUCCUGUCCCCUCUCCUCCCAGCCACCAUCGUUCAUCUGCUCCGGGCAGAGCUGUGUGGCCCCUGCCUGCGCCAGCCAUGGGCUCGGGAUGGACUCCCUGGGCCCCUCCCAUUGCCAAGCCAGGAAGGCAGCUUUCGCUUGUUCCUGCCUCGGGACAGCCCCAGGUUUCCCCAGCAUCCUGAUGUGUCCCCUCUCCUCACUUCAGAGGCCACCCACUCAGCACCACCGGCCUGGCCUUGCCUGCAGACUAUAAACUAUAACCACUAGCUCUAUGUAGUCUGCAGUCCAGGCGUGUGGAGCCACCUCCCGGCUCUGGGAGGCCCCGGGGCUGGGAACGCCUGUGCCUUCCUGCGCCGAAGCCAACGCCCCCUCUGUCCUUCCCUGGCCCUGCUGCCGACCAGAAGCUGCCCAGCCUGUGGGCGGUCGGCCUUCCCUCCUUCGCUCCAUUUUUGUAUUAGUGAUUUUAAAGGGGACUCUUCAGGGACUUGUGUACUGGUUGUGGGGGUGCCAGAGGCACUAGGCUUGGGGUGGGGCGGUCCCGUGUUCCAUAUAGAGGAACCCCAAAUAAUAAAAGAAAAGGCCCCACAUCUGUCUGUG